UUUGUUUGUUGGGGUGGGAGUUCCAUGAGUGAUAAGCCCACUACCCAGGCUUGAGCGUACACACAGGUUUUAGAGUGGAUAGUCAUGAGACUUGCGUGGCAUGUUGCUACGUUAAGUCGUUCAUGAAGUCCCACAUUCCAGAUGAUGUUUCUUUUGGAUAUACUUUGUCUUAUGGGUGUUCCAUAACGACAGGUGUUCCUUUAGAAAUCGUCGACUCUGGUGACCAUUUCCCGAGAACUCAGUCGAG
This 247-nucleotide long non-coding RNA is filed under the name Lathyrus oleraceus (garden pea). RNAcentral's name for it is "Pisum sativum (pea) long non-coding RNA (PSAT_LNC015067)". The record is from RNAcentral. Lineage: Eukaryota; Viridiplantae; Streptophyta; Magnoliopsida; Fabales; Fabaceae.